This 458-nucleotide ribosomal RNA is filed under the name uncultured bacterium. Its description in RNAcentral is "partial 16S ribosomal RNA". It matches the Rfam family "Bacterial small subunit ribosomal RNA", at positions 338 to 795 of the family's 1533-position model. The record is from RNAcentral.
CCUACGGGUGGCAGCAGUGAGGAAUAUUGGUCAAUGGGCGAGAGCCUGAACCAGCCAAGUCGCGUGAGGGAGUACUGCCCUAUGGGUUGUAAACCUCUUUUGUCGGGGAGCAAAAGCCGGACGUGUCCGGCUGUGAGAGUACCCGAAGAAAAAGCAUCGGCUAAUUCCGUGCCAGCAGCCGCGGUAAUACGGAGGAUGCGAGCGUUAUCCGGAUUUAUUGGGUUUAAAGGGUGCGCAGGCGGAUUUUUAAGUCAGCGGUAAAAUCGUGGGGCUCAACCCCAUCCAGCCGUUGAAACUGGGGAUCUAGAGUGUGCGAGAGGUAUGCGGAAUGCGUGGUGUAGCGGUGAAAUGCAUAGAUAUCACGCAGAACCCCGAUUGCGAAGGCAGCAUACCGGUGCACAACUGACGCUCAGGCACGAAAGCGUGGGUAUCGAACAGGAUUAGAUACCCCUGUAGUC